Molecule: ribosomal RNA, 134 nt
Filed under: Prolemur simus (greater bamboo lemur)
Lineage: Eukaryota; Metazoa; Chordata; Mammalia; Primates; Lemuridae
Source: RNAcentral
GUCUAUGGCCAUACCACCCUGAACGCGCCCGGUCUUGUCUGAUCUCAGAAGCUAAGCAGGGUUGGGCCUGGUUAGUACUUGGAUGGGAGAAAUAUACCUAACAAGUCCUGAAAACAGAUGAGGAGCCACAGGAC